Molecule: ribosomal RNA, 449 nt
Filed under: uncultured archaeon
Lineage: Archaea
Description: bacterial SSU rRNA
Rfam family: Archaeal small subunit ribosomal RNA
Source: RNAcentral
UCGUCAGUUCGUACCCGCAAGGCGUUCUGUUAAGUCAGAUAACGAACGAGACCNUCAUCCCCUAUUUGCUAACCCCGAUCUCCGGAUCAGGCCGCACUAUAGGGAGACCCGCUGGCGCGAAGUCAGAGGAAGGCGAGGGCAACGGUAGGUCAGUAUGCUCCGAAUGCUAUGGGCUACACGCGCAAUACAAAGGACGGGACAAUGGGCUGCUGCUCCGAAAGGAACGAUGGCUAUCCCGAAACCCGUUCGUAGUUCGGAUUGAGGGCUGUAACUCGCCCUCAUGAAGCUGGAUUAGGUAGUAAUCGCGUCUCAAAAAGGCGCGGUGAAUAUGCCCCUGCUCCUUGCACACACCGCCCGUCAAACCAUCUUAGUUGUGGGUGGGUGAGGCUACCUCUCUGUGUGGUAUUCGAGCCUGCCUUCGACAAGGAGGGUUAAGUCGUAACAAGGUA